This 523-nucleotide ribosomal RNA is filed under the name Sticta caperata. RNAcentral describes it as "partial large subunit ribosomal RNA". It matches the Rfam family "Eukaryotic large subunit ribosomal RNA", at positions 83 to 607 of the family's 3401-position model. The record is from RNAcentral. Lineage: Eukaryota; Fungi; Ascomycota; Lecanoromycetes; Peltigerales; Lobariaceae.
GUAACGGCGAGUGAAGCGGCAACAGCUCAAAUUUGAAAUCUGGCCUCUUCGGGGUCCGAGUUGUAAUUUGUAGAGGGUGUUUCGGGCGCGAUGCCGGUCUAAGUUCUUUGGAACAGGACGUCGUAGAGGGUGAGAAUCCCGUAUGCGACCGGCGAUCAAGCCUGUGUGAAGCCCCUUCGACGAGUCGAGUUGUUUGGGAAUGCAGCUCAAAAUGGGUGGUAAAUUUCAUCUAAAGCUAAAUAUUGGCCAGAGACCGAUAGCGGACAAGUAGAGUGAUCGAAAGAUGAAAAGCACUUUGGAAAGAGAGUCAAACAGUACGUGAAAUUGUUGAAAGGGAAGCGCUUGCAAUCAGACCGGUCCGGAGGCGAUCAGCCGCUGCUCGUCAGCGGUGCACUCGCCUGCGAUCCGGCCAGCAUCGGUUUGGGCGGCGGGAGAAAAGNGCCGGGGAAUGUAGCUUCUUUCGGGGAGUCUUAUAGCCCGGGUCGCAAUGCCGCCCGCCUGGACCGAGGACCGCGCUUCGGCU